Molecule: long non-coding RNA, 225 nt
Filed under: Lathyrus oleraceus (garden pea)
Lineage: Eukaryota; Viridiplantae; Streptophyta; Magnoliopsida; Fabales; Fabaceae
Description: Pisum sativum (pea) long non-coding RNA (PSAT_LNC039205)
Source: RNAcentral
UGUUGUUGUUGGGCCUUGGUCAAGGUUGAUUUGACUUUUUCAAAUUAAUAUCAUUGGAUUUAGGGGAUUGAUGGAAUGCACAUUCCAUCUCCCAAAAUGAAUGAAUGAUAUUAAUUUGGUAAAAGUCCUCCUUUGACCAAUUUGUGAUUUAAUUCUUUCCCUUUCCACUUCAUCUUAUUCCCCUUCUUCAUUCAUUCACUCCAUUUGGCCUAUGACAUCUCAAAG